GUGACUGCGUACCUUUUGUAUAAUGGGUCAGCGACUUAUAUUCUGUAGCAAGGUUAACCGAAUAGGGGAGCCGAAGGGAAACCGAGUCUUAACUGGGCGUUAAGUUGCAGGGUAUAGACCCGAAACCCGGUGAUCUAGCCAUGGGCAGGUUGAAGGUUGGGUAACACUAACUGGAGGACCGAACCGACUAAUGUUGAAAAAUUAGCGGAUGACUUGUGGCUGGGGGUGAAAGGCCAAUCAAACCGGGAGAUAGCUGGUUCUCCCCGAAAGCUAUUUAGGUAGCGCCUCGUGAAUUCAUCUCCGGGGGUAGAGCACUGUUUCGGCAAGGGGGUCAUCCCGACUUACCAACCCGAUGCAAACUGCGAAUACCGGAGAAUGUUAUCACGGGAGACACACGGCGGGUGCUAACGUCCGUCGUGAAGAGGGAAACAACCCAGACCGCCAGCUAAGGUCCCAAAGUCAUGGUUAAGUGGGAAACGAUGUGGGAAGGCCCAGACAGCCAGGAUGUUGGCUUAGAAGCAGCCAUCAUUUAAAGAAAGCGUAAUAGCUCACUGGUCGAGUCGGCCUGCGCGGAAGAUGUAACGGGGCUAAACCAUGCACCGAAGCUGCGGCAGCGACGCUUAUGCGUUGUUGGGUAGGGGAGCGUUCUGUAAGCCUGUGAAGGUGUGCUGUGAGGCAUGCUGGAGGUAUCAGAAGUGCGAAUGCUGACAUAAGUAACGAUAAAGCGGGUGAAAAGCCCGCUCGCCGGAAGACCAAGGGUUCCUGUCCAACGUUAAUCGGGGCAGGGUGAGUCGACCCCUAAGGCGAGGCCGAAAGGCGUAGUCGAUGGGAAACAGGUUAAUAUUCCUGUACUUGGUGUUACUGCGAAGGGGGGACGGAGAAGGCUAUGUUGGCCGGGCGACGGUUGUCCCGGUUUAAGCGUGUAGGCUGGUUUUCCAGGCAAAUCCGGAAAAUCAAGGCUGAGGCGUGAUGACGAGGCACUACGGUGCUGAAGCAACAAAUGCCCUGCUUCCAGGAAAAGCCUCUAAGCAUCAGGUAACAUCAAAUCGUACCCCAAACCGACACAGGUGGUCAGGUAGAGAAUACCAAGGCGCUUGAGAGAACUCGGGUGAAGGAACUAGGCAAAAUGGUGCCGUAACUUCGGGAGAAGGCACGCUGAUAUGUAGGUGAAGUCCCUCGCGGAUGGAGCUGAAAUCAGUCGAAGAUACCAGCUGGCUGCAACUGUUUAUUAAAAACACAGCACUGUGCAAACACGAAAGUGGACGUAUACGGUGUGACGCCUGCCCGGUGCCGGAAGGUUAAUUGAUGGGGUUAGCGCAAGCGAAGCUCUUGAUCGAAGCCCCGGUAAACGGCGGCCGUAACUAUAACGGUCCUAAGGUAGCGAAAUUCCUUGUCGGGUAAGUUCCGACCUGCACGAAUGGCGUAAUGAUGGCCAGGCUGUCUCCACCCGAGACUCAGUGAAAUUGAACUCGCUGUGAAGAUGCAGUGUACCCGCGGCAAGACGGAAAGACCCCGUGAACCUUUACUAUAGCUUGACACUGAACAUUGAGCCUUGAUGUGUAGGAUAGGUGGGAGGCUUUGAAGUGUGGACGCCAGUCUGCAUGGAGCCGACCUUGAAAUACCACCCUUUAAUGUUUGAUGUUCUAACGU
RNAcentral lists this ribosomal RNA (1650 nucleotides) under Escherichia coli. RNAcentral's name for it is "partial 23S ribosomal RNA". It matches the Rfam family "Bacterial large subunit ribosomal RNA", at positions 593 to 2228 of the family's 2925-position model. The record is from RNAcentral. Lineage: Bacteria; Pseudomonadati; Pseudomonadota; Gammaproteobacteria; Enterobacterales; Enterobacteriaceae.